Molecule: unclassified non-coding RNA, 345 nt
Filed under: Hevea brasiliensis (rubber tree)
Lineage: Eukaryota; Viridiplantae; Streptophyta; Magnoliopsida; Malpighiales; Euphorbiaceae
Source: RNAcentral
AAAAGCAUGCAUCACUAACAAUUACUCAUUUUAGAAAAUUUUUCCAUUAAGUUGAUUAGCACAAAAAAGCAUAUUCUGUAGCUUUACUCAACUCGGAAUGGCAUUAAUUCAGCUCAUUCAAACCUUAAAUCAUCAUUCACUAGCUAGAUUUAUUAAAUUUUCAUAUCAGACAAUGAGAAAUGAAAUCCCAUUCAGCCUUUUUUAAAACUUACUCAACUGAGUUUAUCAAGACUAUAACAGUCUCAUCAGUAGCCAAUUUGUAUUUAUCUACAGCCAAAAUUUUCACAUACGCUCCAAGUGAAAAAUCAGCCUGCUAUCUCAAGUGUUAUUUGGACCUAUGCUUUU